Molecule: ribosomal RNA, 503 nt
Filed under: uncultured bacterium
Lineage: Bacteria
Description: partial 16S ribosomal RNA
Rfam family: Bacterial small subunit ribosomal RNA
Source: RNAcentral
AUUGAACGCUGGCGGCAUGCCUUACACAUGCAAGUCGAACGGCAGCACGGGAGCUUGCUCCUGGUGGCGAGUGGCGAACGGGUGAGUAAUACAUCGGAACGUGCCCAGUAGUGGGGGAUAGCCCGGCGAAAGCCGGAUUAAUACCGCAUACGACCUACGGGUGAAAGCGGGGGACCGUAAGGCCUCGCGCUAUUGGAGCGGCCGAUGUCUGAUUAGCUUGGUGGUGGGGUAAAAGCCCACCAAGGCGACGAUCAGUAGCUGGUCUGAGAGGACGAUCAGCCACAGUGGGACUGAGACACGGCCCAGACUCCUACGGGAGGCAGCAGUGGGGAAUUUUGGACAAUGGGGGCAACCCUGAUCCAGCAAUGCCGCGUGUGCGAAGAAGGCCUUCGGGUUGUAAAGCACUUUUGUCAGGGAAGAAAUCUUUCAGGCUAAUACCCUUGGAAGGAUGACGGUACCUGAAGAAUAAGCACCGGCUAACUACGUGCCAGCAGCCGCCGUAA